GGCACAUGAAAUGGAUUUGAGUAAUGACUACCCAGGGCUUUGGUUUGUGACAGGAAGGUCAAAGAAAAGCAUGACAAUGCAGACUGAUGUCAGGAGAACAAGAUUUUCCAAGGAUGGAGUCGGGCGGCGCUUAUCAGCGAUGCUGACGGUCCACGGCUGCGUUCGCUUGUUAGGGCUCAUAUCACAGAGCACCAGGGGGCUUCCCAGGGGGCGCUGGUGGUAAAGAAUCCGCUGGCCAAUCCAGGAGACCUAAGAGAAGCGGCUCUGAUCCCUGGGCCGGGAAGAUCCCCUGGAGGGCACGGCAGUCCACUCCAGUACUCUCGUCUAGAGAAUCCCAUGGACAGAAGAGCCUGGUGGCUGCAGUCACAAAAAACUCAGACGUGACUUAGUGACUAAACAACAAAAGGAAAUGCGGGCAUUAGAUAGUCCUUGGCUGGCAUUUCGAUCGCACGGCAUACACUCUCUCAUCACUGCAACAGGGUCACUUACUAAAUACAUCUAAGAGGAACUCUGACAGUCCUGAGAAAUCUGACCACGUGACUCUGGCACAACACAGA
This is a long non-coding RNA of Bos taurus (domestic cattle), 557 nucleotides long. The record is from Ensembl. NCBI's taxonomy places the organism in Eukaryota, Metazoa, Chordata, Mammalia, Artiodactyla, Bovidae.